GAUUUAAGUGUACUUUUGGAGUGUCCACUAGGGGGAGAUCUAAGGUUGCAGGUUGUGGCUGAUGUGACGUGUGCUGUGCGUCACAGCCAAUACAGACUGACGCAGAGACGACAGCAUGAGUUCGUGUCUUCAUUUAUUAAUUUCUAUUUUCCCCGUUUAUCAGGGUGUAACAAUGGCAUCAAGGAUCCAGGAUCUAGAGAUCAUUCUUCAUGGAGACUGUUCCACAGGAAGCAGUUUAUCCUGGGUGAAAAACUAAACCUGGUUGUUUCAGCAUCACUCAGGCAAGAUUUGAGGGAAAGAUUAAAAACAAGGAGGUCUGGGAAUGACUGAAGGGAACUGACAGCAGUGAGGGAAGGAAGUAAUCACCAGAUUGUAAUUUCUUUGAGAAUGUGUGCAUUGUUUAUUACAAGUUGAGUUUUCAUUUAAAUGUAGCAAUGUACACAGUUGGUCAAAAGGUUUAAAUAUAUUUUAAAAGUGUAAUUUAUUUCUGUGAUGCUCCGCUAUAUUUUCAGCAUCAUUCCUCCAGUCUUCAGUGUCACAUGAUCUUCAGAAAUCAUGAUAAUAUGAUGAUUUACUGCUCAAGAAACAUUUCUGAUUAUUAUCAGCGCUGAAAACAGUUGUGCUGCCCAAAACUUUUGUCUAAACUACAGUUACAUUUAUUUUUUUAUUUAUUUUUUUAUGGGGGCUAAUAGCAAGAAUGCAUAAAAUUGAAUACCAGUGGUAGAGAAGACUUUUGUAAUUUUACAAUAUUACUUUUUUUUUUUUUUAAUUUUGAGACUUCUCUUGAAAGCCAUAAAGAAAAGAUUCCAGAUUUUGACUGGUUGUGAACAUACAUGAGCAACAUUAACAAGAUGAUCCUCCCUUUCAGCUCAGAGAAGGAUGUUGACAGCAGGCCCAGGAUGAAGAAGAGGAGGAAGAACACAUUUAACAAUUUACUCAUAAACUUUCCAUGUGUUAUAAUAAAAACAAUGAACAUGACUACAGUAAAAUGCUAAAUGUUAUUAAAAGAUUCCAGUUUGCAAGAAAUCUGAGUGUCUGCCUCUACACUAGAGGAACUCUUUCCUGAAGAAGAUCAGGUGCUGAGAAGGAGCCUUGUUCUACAGCAAAACACUGCAUCAAGCCUCCUGUCCUUCCCUCAGAAGAGCCUGUCUUCUGCUGCUGGGGUAAGAAACACACUCUUCCUCUUCUCUAUCAGCUGUCCUGCACCUAUCUCUGUCUGAAAGAGUCUUCUCCACAGUCAGUAAUCAGAGACUCUGUUGAUUCAGAUCGACACUUCAGAGCCUGUUUGUGAUUUUUUUAUUCAGAUCUGGACAUCAGAGCAAGAAGUUUUUGUCAAACAGUUCAUUGUUGAUAAAUGAAUAUUUGACCUGAGGCCUUUUUUUUAACCUGUCGAUUUGAUUCUUAAAUGAUUUCAAGACUUUUGGAUGUCAAUACUUCUUGUACCUCAGUUGCUUGUGUUGUGUUUUAUGAAUUGUGGAUGGAUUUAUCAACUGGGAAAUAAAGUUGAACAGAAAUGAUCAUGAACUCUUAAAGAUGAUGAUGAAAAGAAAAGGUAAUAUUGCAAAUAAAAUUAUAUCUAUCUAAGUAUGAACUAACUUGUGCAAUACAGUAAAUAUUCUUAAGGCGGUCGCACACCGGACGAGAAGCGCCGCGUUGCGUCGCGCCACAUGUAGGACAACUCGAGGCAUCGCACACCGGAAGCGCACAUUCUAUAUGCGCGAGCUCAAUUUCGCAGCAAGAUGUGUGAGUUUUAGCUUCAUCUAUUAUUAUUAUUUUAAAUAUAUGAUUUUAAUUGAUAAAAGCUUAAUUGACAGGCAAAUGUUCCACAGGCCAAUACUUUAAUAUUUCGCGUAUGUAAAAAUGUCUCAAGAGAAAAAUAAAAUAUUAAAAGCACUACGUUUAUUAUACAUUUAAUUGUAUAUGUUUACAUUUUAAUUAAGCUGUACAACUAAUAUAAGUAGUAUUUUGCAGCAGUGGUAUCUUGGUGUAAUGUAUGAACAACGAUUUGUAACAAAUAUGAUGUUUUUUUUUUUUAUAUAAAACUAUGCAGAUGGCGCUCUGUGGCGCGGCAGAAAUUUGAACAGCGUUCCGAGUCGUAGCUGGGCACCGCGGACAGACGCCGAAUGGCGCCGCCGGUGUGUGUACACUCAUAGAGAAUAAUGUGGUCGAAACUGCAUUUAUUAAAAAGUGUUUUUUUUUGCACUAAAAAUCUUUUAUCUGCACUGAUGUUCACUUCAUUGAAUUUGGACUCUAUCUGUCAUUUGCCUUGCGCUGCUUUAUUUAACUAUUUUUAAUAUUUUAUAUGCCUUUUUUACAUUCCCUUAUUGUAUAUUUGUAUCUACAUUUUAUAUUUGAAAUAGAUUUUUAGGAUUUAAUGUUAAUGUUAUCUGUGUGCACCGGGGUCUAAGUGUAAUGCAAUUUCGAUUCUCUGUAUGUAUGUACUGUACAUGUGGAAAUUGACAAUAAAGCAGACUUGACUUGA
This is a long non-coding RNA of Carassius gibelio (silver crucian carp), 2482 nucleotides long. RefSeq lists it as uncharacterized. The transcript is spliced from 3 exons. Lineage: Eukaryota; Metazoa; Chordata; Actinopteri; Cypriniformes; Cyprinidae. The record is from RefSeq and is a predicted model, not a curated record.